CAGCAGCCACGGUAAUACGGAGGGUGCAAGCGUUAAUCGGAGUUACUGGGCGUAAAGCGCACGCAGGCGGUUUGUUAAGUCAGAUGUGAAAUCCCCGAGCUUAACUUGGGAACUGUAUUUGAAACUGGCAAGCUAGAGUCUUGUAGAGGGGGGCAGAAUUCCAGGUGUAGCGGUGAAAUGCGUAGAGAUCUGGAGGAAUACCGGUGGCGAAGGCGGCCCCCUGGACAAAGACUGACGCUCAGGUGCGAAAGCGUGGGGAGCAAACAGGAUUAGAUACCCCUGAGUCCCUGUCUCUUAUACA
Molecule: ribosomal RNA, 301 nt
Filed under: uncultured bacterium
Lineage: Bacteria
Description: partial 16S ribosomal RNA
Rfam family: Bacterial small subunit ribosomal RNA
Source: RNAcentral